Hirundo rustica (Barn swallow) is the source of this 1648-nucleotide long non-coding RNA. RefSeq lists it as uncharacterized. The transcript is spliced from 2 exons. The record is from RefSeq and is a predicted model, not a curated record. Lineage: Eukaryota; Metazoa; Chordata; Aves; Passeriformes; Hirundinidae.
CUGAAUAUAGAUGUCUAAUUUCUCUUUUGUUUUCUAAUAAAGGGAUUCAGCAUAUGGAAUUUGAUUACAAAUACACUGAAUUUCUUGUAUUAUUUCUCAGGCCUGCACGUUGACAUUGGUGACGAUAGUUACAGCUACCCUGGGGAAGUCUUGCAGUGUUGCAAAACAACUACACAGCACUGCAGGGAAGCUGAAGAUUCGUGCAGUAGCUUUCAUUUAGAUGUGGCAGAGGAUUCUGUCAUCACCUGCAAUCAAGUGAUCAGCCUGUCUGUCAAAACUUGAAAUGCAGAGUAUAGAGCAAUGUGAUCCAGCAGGAUCAGGACUCUGGAGUCACAGUCCUUCCUUGUAACCGACCCUCCAGAAGCAGUGUGUGUCCCUGCCAUCUGGGUGUCACUACCAGCCUGCAGCCUGGCACAGAGGGAAGCAGCAGCGCUGCUGUUCAGCAUGGCUGCUCAGCAGAAGAAAGCUGGUGAGGGCAGUGGUUACAUGGCUUUUCUUCCAGGGCUUUUGCUUGUCCAAAUUAUUUCAAUCACUGCAGGUUAAUUGACUUCUCAGCCUCAGCUAACAAGACUGCACUUGGUCAGUAUCGAUUCUCACUCACAAUGCCCUCAGUCUUUUGAAUUAAAUGUUUUGAGCUGUAAGUAGCUGCCGUUGGUGAGAAUCUACAGUUCAGCCAGUGAUUAAAUUCUGAUUUUUUUUUCCUGCUCAGCCAUCUUUUCCAAAGCUGUUUAUCAUUUCUGUGUGUCUUUUGGAGGAUCUUAUUCCAGGUACCUCAUUUCCAGGUGGCCAGGGAGUUGGGUGCCCCAUCAACACUUGACCUGUGAAUUAAUUGCCACACUGUGCUGUUUGCAGGAUUUUAUACCUUCAGGGAUGUGCUUUCCCCUGCAGUGCUCCCGUGUAGUGUCACUUCAUUAGCCACAGCUAUAAACAGAGCUGUGUUGUGUGGCAUUCAGAACUCUGACAGAGCCAAAUACAUGGCUUUUUAGAGGCUUUUAUUAUUCUGGAUCAAUGGAAGAUACGGGACUGAUCUGUCGUUUCCUUGCAAGCAGCACAACAGGAUACACUGGUGUGAGGGUGGACACAAGCACGGGGCUGGGGGAAGCAGCUCUUGCUAAACCAACUGAUGGAAAACACAUUUAGCUACGUUUUGGUUCUGCCUCAAGCAGCUUUUCAGAUUUGUUUCUAUUCCUGAUGUACAUAGGAAAGUGUUUGGGGGAAACAGGCUCUCACUUGAUGGGAUUUGUUGACUGUGGGAACACCUGGGGUUAGAAUUGAAACUGAGCUUUGAGCGUUCUGCUGAAGUAGCUGGUACUUCCUGUGCUGCUCCUGUCACCUGGUAAUGCAGUCUCUUGUAAUAGGUCUCUGUUCUUUCUGAAUGUAAUGAGAGGAGCAGAUUUCCUGCUGUUCUAAAAUCCCAACAAACAAGAUAAAUUUUAUCUUCAAAAUAUUUAGGCAUCACAUGGGUGGGUUUUGGAGGGAUGUGUGUGUUUGGAAUGCAUCAGGUUUUGGGUGAAUUCACUGUAAUUGAACCUACUCUUAAUCUGGUGAAAUUGGACUCCUAAUGACCAAUUUGGGAUAUGCAGACAAUAUGUGUACCAAAUUAUAUCUCAUUUUAUGCAGCAAUAAAGCACACCGCGUUCUUUCUAAA